GGAACUCCCACAUACCCUGGCAUUUCAUCUCCUCAAUACCUUUCACCUCUUCCUGCUUCUUUCACAGACUGAUCAAGAAAACUGCUGGGGCUUGAGGGGCCUGGAAAAGCCACUCCCUCCUUGACCCCACUGCUACGUUGUGCACUGCUUGAUCUCUUGGAAAUUGCCAACCCUGGAGAGAAGCAGUUUUGACUUCCCUUCUGUCCUGGACAAACCACCAAGGGAACUUAAGAAUGUUUUAUUCACUUCUUAUGUGACAGCAGACUACUCACUAGGUGGUAUGAUCCAACUUAAUAAGAUAGGGGAUCCAGUGUAACACAGAGCCUAAGUCUCUGAGGGAGGAUUAUGGAGAUGAAAUGGGGUAAGUUAUUUAAAUCCAAGAAACCCAAACCUUAUCUGACGUACUAGAAAAGACAAAAGUGCUAAUGUUGGGUGAUUUCUAGUCUUAUCACACAGGUAGGUCCUAGGCUGUAUGGAAGCAGUUUGUGUAACAGAAGACCCCAUCUAACUCAGGUGGGAUUUAUGAGGUCCAGCUCCCUUUAGGCCCUAUCUGAGAAUCUCCACUCAGAAUUAAUGCACCAAAGUUAAAUCUGCACUAGAAAGCCAGGUAAGGCCUCAAGCACCUGAUAGGUUGAGGCCCUGCUUGGUUAGUCUCCAUAUCAACACUGUAAAAUGAGCUAAUCUAAUACC
RNAcentral lists this long non-coding RNA (690 nucleotides) under Felis catus (domestic cat). RNAcentral describes it as "lncRNA (ENSFCAG00000042480.2)". The record is from RNAcentral. Lineage: Eukaryota; Metazoa; Chordata; Mammalia; Carnivora; Felidae.